This 2514-nucleotide long non-coding RNA is filed under the name Homo sapiens (human). RNAcentral's name for it is "HSALNT0190788". Lineage: Eukaryota; Metazoa; Chordata; Mammalia; Primates; Hominidae. The record is from RNAcentral.
CUCAAGAAGAGGUUUGGCAGUAACAAAGUUUAGCUAUUCUGCUGGCCAUCACUCCGGAAAGUGUUCCCACGAAGUGGCUGACUUAAAAAGUAAGCUUGACUAAGUAUCAUAUCACAUGAGCAGCACUGGAAAGAGGCAGAGCUGAGGGAAAGAGGGAAGCUUCUGUGUAGACGUCGACUUUACUCUUUGACCACCAUACCUUGCCUUUCAGUUUGUGGGUAGCUUAGGAAACCGAAGUCAGACAACAUAAUUGGCUUUUGGGGGAUAAGAAUUGUGUCUUUCGGAUGUUUCUCAUAGUGCUUUACAGGAUAUACCCUCAAAAGAAGCUGAAAAAAUUUUAAAAAGAAAGUCUGACACAUUUCAAUGCUGUGUUCAAGCCUUCUGUUUUCCAAAAGAGGCCAUCAGGUAUCACAGCAAAUCACUUUUGUGGAUUAUAAAAGGAAGGUGACUUGCAGCUCUAAAAUCUUAAAUUCUCUGCUCCAUGUUCUGUGUUUUAUAAAUAAGCAUAAUUGGUAUUCAGAAAAGAAAUCUGCAAUCUCAGCCUACUUCAGGAUGUUGGUCUUUCAGCCCACAUGGCUUACUCAUCUUUCAAGUGCAAGGCAGCUCUGCGUGGAGGAUGAUCUCACUCCGGACAAGUAAACACCAAUACCACCAACCUGAGUAGGCCUUCCAUGAAAUACUGGGGACACUAAGAAGCCACACCCCCUGAAACAUUCUAUGGUCAUUCAGCAUUUGAAGCAAAUUGGAAAGGUGAAAAACCUGAUAAGUGGGUGCCUCAUGAGCUCACCGAAAAUUUUUUUAAAAAUUGUCGUUUUGAAGUGUCAUCUUCUCUUAUUCUAUGCAACAACAAUGAACCAUUUCUUGAUUGGAUUGUGAUGUGCGAGGAAAAGUGGAUUUUAUAUGACAACUGGCGAUGACCAGCUCAGUGGUUGGACCGAGAAGAAGCUCCAAAACACUUCCCAAAGCCAAACUUGCACCAAAAAAGGUCCUGGUCACUGCUUGGUGGGCUGCUGCUGGUCUGAUCCACUGCAGCUUUCUGAAUCCCUGGGAAACCAUUACACCUGAGAAGUAUGCUCAGCAAACCAAUGAGAUGCACCAAAAACUGCAAUGCCUGCAGCUGGCUUUGGUCAACAGGAAGGGCCCAAUUCUUCUCCACCACAAUGUCCGACUGCACAUCACAACCCACGCUUCAGAAGUUGAACAAAUUGGGCUACGAAGUUUUGCCUCAUCUCCCAUGUUCACCUGACCUCUCGCUGAGAAGUAGCUUUGGAGCUUCUUCUCGGUCCAAACACUGAGCUGGUCAUCGCCGGUUGUCAUAUAAAAUCCACUUUUCCUCGCACAUCACAAUCCAAUCAAGAAAUGGUUCAUUGUUGUUGCAUAGAAUAAGAGAAGAUGACACUUCAAAACUACCACUUCUUCAAGCAUCUCAACAACUUUUUGCAGGGAAAAUGCUUCCACAACCAGCAGGAUGCAGAAAAUGCUCUCCAAAAGUUUGUCAAAUCCUGAAGCAUGGAUUUUUAGGCUACAGGAAUAAACGUAUUUCUCACUGGCAGAAAUUUAUUGAUUGUAAUGAUUCCUUUUUUGGUUAAAGACAUGUUUGAGCCUAGUUAUAACGACUUACAAUUCACGGUCCAAAACUGCAAGUACUUUUUGCACCAGCGAGAUGUGCAUAUGAGAAGCUUAUUUCACCAAGCCUCUUAUCUAGUCAUCUGUAUAAUUAUUUCAAGCACAGGAGGGACCCUACUUCUUACUGGGGAGGAUUAAGGAAGGCUUCCUGGAGGAUUGUCUCAGAGCUUGCUGCAGGUGCAUAUUGAAAAGCAAUUCAUUACAAUUUUCUAUAAGAGACUGUGGCUGAACAAUGAUACACAGGUAUGGUCAGAACUUUGUGUAACAAUUUCUGCAUCACAUGUGUAGAAAUCUUAAGGAAAGGAAUACUCUCUCUCAGCAAGUUGAGCCCUGUAGCCAGAUACUUUGAGUAGUGUUUCCUGAAUCUUUAAAACCCACUGACUUCAAAUGGCAUGACUUCCAGAGUAUAGAGGUGGGUAUAAAGAGCAACUCAGCCCCCCACACCCUUAAAAUCACAUCUUGUCAAAAACUUGAAGACUUUCAGGACUUGUGGAUUCAUUCCUCUUUCCAUCGCCACUGCAAAAGCUCAUAGGAAAUUUUUCUCUGUACAUAAAGAAGGAAAUCAUGCUCUCACAGCUGCAUCCUGAGUAAUCACUUUUGAGAUAAAACUAUUUUUCUAGCCAUAAAAGCUAUAUUUGAAUUUCACCAGCUGCUUUCUUAAUGAUUACUAGACUAUUUUGAUAAUGGCACCAGCUUCAGGAAAGGUGGUGAUGCUACCUAACCUUGCUUUGAUAAGAAAGAUUUUUGCAUCAGGGGAGAUUACACUUAUUUAAUGUAAUCCAGAUGUCUCCUUUCUCAGUGUUCCCCAAUUCUGCCAGCCUCAUUGAUCAUUCCAACUAUUAGUAUUCAAAUAAAAAUGGCUUCCAUAUGUAAAAGGAAACUCAGGAU